AACGAACGCUGGCGGCAUGCCUAACACAUGCAAGUCGAACGAGACCUUCGGGUCUAUUUGCGCAGGGUUGCGUGCCGCGUGGGAACCUGCCCUUAAGUUCGGAAUAACUGCCCGAAGGAUGUGCUCAGAACGGUGAAUGUCUUCGGACCAAAGAUGUAUCGCCUUUGGAUGGGCCCUCGUUAGAUUAGCCAGUUGGUAGUGUAAAAGCCGACCAACGCGACGAUCCAUAGCUGGUCGGUGAGGAGGACCAGGCACACUGGGAAUGAGACACGGACGAGACUCCGACGCAGGGGAGCAGAGGGGAAUAUUGUACAAUGGGCGAAAGCCUGAUACAGCAAUGCCGGGUGAGUGAUGAAGGCCUUAGGGUUCUAAAGCUCCUUUUCCCGGGAUGAGAAUGACAGUACCGGGUGAAUAAGCUCCGGCUAACUCCGUG
Molecule: ribosomal RNA, 433 nt
Filed under: uncultured bacterium
Lineage: Bacteria
Description: partial 16S ribosomal RNA
Rfam family: Bacterial small subunit ribosomal RNA
Source: RNAcentral